RNAcentral lists this long non-coding RNA (2223 nucleotides) under Anolis carolinensis (green anole). RNAcentral's name for it is "lncRNA (ENSACAG00000036471.1)". The record is from RNAcentral. Lineage: Eukaryota; Metazoa; Chordata; Lepidosauria; Squamata; Anolidae.
AGUACUAAUAUGGUUUAUUAUGAAUUAGGUCAAUUCAUUUUAGCAUAUGAAUUUUGUCUUUGUUCCUUCCCUGUUCUUUUUGUUGUAGCCAUUUCCAUAAUGAGAGAACUAAGUAUCAUGAUAUUUCUUUUGGAAUAUGGAGCUGGAGCAUACAUACUGUAUUAAUGUAUUAUUCAGUGCUUGCCACUCCCUCUCUCUUCUAUCUGUCUAUGAAAAGUGGUUCUAACUUAUCUUACCAAAGCUGGAUUUGCCAUUCCAAAGAGGAAGAUGUCUAUUUUAGGUGACACAUGCUAAGGGGAGAGCUGGGGCACAGAGGCACUAGAGGAGACAGGCAGCCUCCCCUGUAUCUUCAAAUCCAUCAUUGGCUAUGUUAGACAUCUUGUCUUCUAUUACAAAUUUUGAGAACCAAAGACUUAAAAUGGUCCUCUGGGUCAGAGCUGUGCAAUCCUUGAUCCUCAUCCACUGCCUCUGGAUGUCUGAAGCCCGGCAGCAUAGUUCUGUUAUCACUGUGCCAAAUGGAGGAGCGUGGGGCACCUGGGGUGAUGUGGUGCUAUGCCCUCAAGGAUAUGCGUAUGGUUUUUCUAUUAAGGUGUUUCUAUUUUACCAUUCCUGUAUUUGUCUUGUUUGUAACUGGGAACUUCUAAGGUCCUGAGACCAUUUUCAGCACCCCCAAGACUUUAACAUAGUACUCUACCCCUGGUGCUGCUUCAAACCAGAAAAAGCCUAUUUUAGGUGACUUCUAUUUUCAAGAGUUAGAUCUGGCUAAAGAUCAGGUCUAAUUAUUCCAAGCUGUCUAGGGGUGUUCCUUGAAGUGACUGGCUUGACCUUGAAGGAACUGGGGGUGGCAACGGCUGACAGGGAGCUCUGGCGUGGACUGGUCCAUGAGGUCACAAAGAGUCGAAAACGACUGAACGAGUAAAGAAGAAGUCUAGGGGUGUUUGGCAUUUAGAUUUGGAGAGAUGAAAUAUACAACUACAGCACUUUCAAGAUCAUGGAAUUCAAUUCUAAUAUAAAGACCUUCAAAGUGGGAGAGCCCACCACCCCCAGAAAUAAUCUAUUCUAGUCUUCAACAGGUCUUACUGGGAUUUGUUUAAAUUAUUUUAAGUGUAUGUAUGUAUAGGGGUUUGGGGACAAUCUUAAGGUACUGGGAUGCUAUAAUGUGUGAUCUGUGGGCCAUACUUUGCAUUUCCCCGAUCUAUAAAUACACCUUUUUUCAGUAUAGGUUAAACUCAUGCUAGGCCUAUGGCAAAACAAUUUCAAAACUGUUGCAUAUCUGCCAAUAAUCUUGGUUUAAGUUAAUACAUUUCUGUGUCCAGUGAAUAUGUGCAAUUCUAGGUAUAUAUGUUCAACAAUAAUUUGCUUAUGAUAGAACAAGAAUACCCAUUAUAUAUAGGGGUGUGCUAAAUGGCAGAAAUCCGUUUUGAAUUUCAUUUCUAAAUUUGGAUGGUCAAUUGUUUUGUUUUGAAAAUAUUUCAAAAUAGUCGUAUAUGGGUGGUGGUUCAUUUCAAAUCUGAAUUUCAGAAGAUUUGUUAUCGUUUUGUUAGUUUUAUUUCAUUGGAGCAAUGGGGGAACUUCAGAGGCUAAUUUCUCCAUCAUUUUUAUGAAACUUGGGACAUUUACAACUGUAAACCUGACAAGUUUCAAAACAUUUCACUCAUCCACUGAUUUUUAGGAAAAUUUAGAAGAUUUCACAAAUUUUAUUUUAAAAAUCAAAAGAGGUAUCCUCUUAAAUUUCUCCACAGCAACAGAGCAUGAGUAGGGCAUCAUUUCUGCAGUUUCAGAAAAAUUUGGUCAUCCACUGAUUUUUAGGUUUUUUUUUUCAAUUUAAGCAAUUUAAGCACCUUGGUCAAGCACAUUGUCUCAGCUACAGAGAACUUUGGGCUUUCAAUUUUUUUUUUACAGCUUUCAGGAUGAAAGUUGCCACACUUGUAGGAUUUUAAUGUUAACUUGAAUUUUAAGAUUUUUUUUCAAUUGCAGUCUUUUGAGUUGGGUUGGACUAGAUGCCUUUAGUGGUCCUGUAGGGGAAAAUUUAAAGGCUAAUUUCUCUGUCAUUUUUGUGGCUAACAGGACAAAACUUUUCACACUUGUAGUAUACAUUUAUCACAAAUACUGAGUGCCAUUCUGUGGAUGCCAAUACUAAAAGACAAGGGAGUCUUUUUCAAAAGUGAAAUACUCAAGGCGCAAAUGCAAACAGUACCAACAAAGAAAAAAAAAUAAGACAAG